GACGAACGCUGGCGGCGUGCUUAACACAUGCAAGUCGAACGGAAAGGCCCUGCUUUUGUGGGGUGCUCGAGUGGCGAACGGGUGAGUAACACGUGAGUAACCUGCCCUUGACUUUGGGAUAACUUCAGGAAACUGGGGCUAAUACCGGAUAGGAGCUCCUGCUGCAUGGUGGGGGUUGGAAAGUUUCGGCGGUUGGGGAUGGACUCGCGGCUUAUCAGCUUGUUGGUGGGGUAGUGGCUUACCAAGGCUUUGACGGGUAGCCGGCCUGAGAGGGUGACCGGCCACAUUGGGACUGAGAUACGGCCCAGACUCCUACGGGAGGCAGCAGUGGGGAAUAUUGCACAAUGGGCGGAAGCCUGAUGCAGCAACGCCGCGUGCGGGAUGACGGCCUUCGGGUUGUAAACCGCUUUCGCCUAUGACGAAGCGUGAGUGACAGUAAUGGGUAAAGAAGCACCGGCUAACUACGUG
This 468-nucleotide ribosomal RNA is filed under the name uncultured bacterium. RNAcentral describes it as "partial 16S ribosomal RNA". It matches the Rfam family "Bacterial small subunit ribosomal RNA", at positions 28 to 507 of the family's 1533-position model. The record is from RNAcentral.